RNAcentral lists this ribosomal RNA (1345 nucleotides) under metagenome. Its description in RNAcentral is "bacterial SSU rRNA". It matches the Rfam family "Bacterial small subunit ribosomal RNA", at positions 173 to 1498 of the family's 1533-position model. The record is from RNAcentral.
UCUUUAGUACUUCGGUACGUAAGAUCAAAGGUGGCCUCUACAUGUAAGGUACUGUUUGGGGAUGAGCCCGCGUACCAUUAGCUUGUUGGUAGGGUAACGGCCUACCAAGGCAGCGAUGGUUAGCUGGUCCGAGAGGAUGAUCAGCCACACUGGAACUGACACACGGUCCAGACUCCUACGGGAGGCAGCAGUGAGGAAUUUUGCGCAAUGGGGGAAACCCUGACGCAGCAACGCCGCGUGAGUGAUGAAGGCUUUCGGGUCGUAAAGCUCUGUCAAGUGGGAAGAAAUCUUAUGGUGCCAAUACCACCAUGUGUUGACGGUACCACUGAAGGAAGCACCGGCUAACUCCGUGCCAGCAGCCGCGGUAAUACGGGGGGUGCAAGCGUUAUUCGGAAUUACUGGGCGUAAAGAGCGCGUAGGCGGUCCUUUAAGUCAGGUGUGAAAGCCCGAGGCUUAACCUCGGAAGUGCACUUGAAACUAUAGGACUUGAGUAUGGGAGAGGGAAGUGGAAUUCCUGGUGUAGCGGUGAAAUGCGUAGAUAUCAGGAGGAACACCGGUGGCGAAGGCGACUUCCUGGACCAAUACUGACGCUGAGGCGCGAAGGCGUGGGGAGCAAACAGGAUUAGAUACCCUGGUAGUCCACGCAGUAAACUGUGAACACUAGGUGUAGCGGGUAUUGACCCCUGCUGUGCCGCAGCAAACGCAUUAAGUGUUCCGCCUGGGGAGUACGGCCGCAAGGCUAAAACUCAAAGGAACUGACGGGGGCCCGCACAAGCGGUGGAGCAUGUGGUUUAAUUCGACGCAACGCGAAGAACCUUACCUGGAUUUGACAUCUCGGGAAUCUUUUUGAAAGAUUAGAGUGCCCUUCGGGGAGCCCGAAGACAGGUGCUGCAUGGCUGUCGUCAGCUCGUGUCGUCAGAUGUUGGGUUAAGUCCCGCAACGAGCGCAACCCCUAUCUUUAGUUACCAUCAUUUAGUUGGGGACUCUAAAGAUACUGCCCCGGUUAACGGGGAGGAAGGUGGGAUGACGUCAAGUCCUCAUGGCCUUUAUGUCCAGGGCUACACACGUGCUACAAUGGACUGUACAAAGGGUUGCCAGCCUGCGAAGGUGAGCUAAUCCCAGAAAGCAGUUCGUAGUUCGGAUUGGAGUCUGCAACUCGACUCCAUGAAGCUGGAAUCGCUAGUAAUCGUGGAUCAGCAUGCCACGGUGAAUACGUUCCCGGGCCUUGUACACACCGCCCGUCACACCAUGAGAGUUGGUUGUACCAGAAGUCGUUGGGCAAACCUUUCGGGGAUGCAGGCGCCUAAGGUAUGGCUGAUGAUUGGGGUGAAGUCGUAACAAGGUA